CGGAGUUGCCCUGGCCCUUCUUGGAAUUCAGCGGCGGACGGGUGAGUAAUGCUUAGGAAUCUGCCUAUUAGUGGGGGACAACGUUCCGAAAGGAGCGCUAAUACCGCAUACGUCCUACGGGAGAAAGCAGGGGACCUUCGGGCCUUGCGCUAAUAGAUGAGCCUAAGUCGGAUUAGCUAGUUGGUAGGGUAAAGGCCUACCAAGGCGACGAUCUGUAGCGGGUCUGAGAGGAUGAUCCGCCACACUGGGACUGAGACACGGCCCAGACUCCUACGGGAGGCAGCAGUGGGGAAUAUUGGACAAUGGGGGGAACCCUGAUCCAGCCAUGCCGCGUGUGUGAAGAAGGCCUUUUGGUUGUAAAGCACUUUAAGCGAGGAGGAGGCUACCUAGAUUAAUACUUUAGGAUAGUGGACGUUACUCGCAGAAUAAGCACCGGCUAACUCUGUGCCAGCAGCCGCGGUAAUACAGAGGGUGCGAGCGUUAAUCGGAUUUACUGGGCGUAAAGCGUGCGUAGGCGGCCAAUUAAGUCAAAUGUGAAAUCCCCGAGCUUAACUUGGGAAUUGCAUUCGAUACUGGUUGGCUAGAGUAUGGGAGAGGAUGGUAGAAUUCCAGGUGUAGCGGUGAAAUGCGUAGAGAUCUGGAGGAAUACCGAUGGCGAAGGCAGCCAUCUGGCCUAAUACUGACGCUGAGGUACGAAAGCAUGGGGAGCAAACAGGAUUAGAUACCCUGGUAGUCCAUGCCGUAAACGAUGUCUACUAGCCGUUGGGGCCCUUGAGGCUUUAGUGGCGCAGCUAACGCGAUAAGUAGACCGCCUGGGGGAGUACGUCGCAGACUAAAAACUCAAUGGAUUUGACGGGGGGCCCGCACAAGCCGUUGAAGCAAUGUGGAUUUAAGUCGAUUGCACGCGAGCAGCCUUUUACACCGGCUA
RNAcentral lists this ribosomal RNA (928 nucleotides) under Acinetobacter radioresistens. RNAcentral describes it as "bacterial SSU rRNA". It matches the Rfam family "Bacterial small subunit ribosomal RNA", at positions 67 to 982 of the family's 1533-position model. The record is from RNAcentral. Lineage: Bacteria; Pseudomonadati; Pseudomonadota; Gammaproteobacteria; Moraxellales; Moraxellaceae.